UAUAUUAAGUCCAAAGAUUUAUUUCUCUCGAAUGCAUUUCAGUAUCUCUUCUUUGUGAUUAGCAACAAAAAUAUGAAACUCUGCACUUUCUUGUAAACGAUCUAAUUCUUGCUUGAGAAUCUCCAUCUGUUCAUUUUCUUCAAAGAUAUAGAGUUUUGCUUUGAGAGUUCCGAUAGUUUUUCCCAUUUGAAAUCCCAGCCUUGAACCAUGCUUAAAACCAUCAUCAAAGCCGCUCUGAGCAACUUGCAUUUUUCCCUUUAUAAUUCCUUCUGAGUAUCCAAAAUUCGAGUGCUUUUCUUCUAAAAGCUCCAACUCAUGCAUUGAUAAAGCUUGUAGGUUGUCACAAAAAGGAUCAAUCGAUUCCGGAUCCGAUUGAUCUGAUUCAUCGCUUCUAUUGUUUUUUGGCGAUGCCUUUGCAUCUAGCAAUACCUCACCAUCACUCGUCUCAACGCGACUAAAAUAUUUGGACGAAAGGAGUCCAUUGACACCUUCAGUUAAAAUCACACCGUUUUCGGAACGAUAAAACUCGACCCCGUCCUGCAUAGCUUUUGCAGAAUCGAUAUAAAUGUAUAAUGUGCAUGACUUUCGAAUACCAGAAAUUACUCCGGGGUCUCCAUAUAAACCUGUAGCACAAUGUAUGUGAUUACGCUUCAUCCGACUCAAGCCUUGUUUAGAUAUAACUGGCCAAAGCUCCUUCUUUGUCCCAUGCACCACCUUUGGAAUUGAAGAAGCAUUAUCUAUACGGGCCAUUGGUACCUGAACUGCUUUUAUAGAAUGCCCUUGGUUAGCCCUUAUAUACAAGACACCUUCCACUUCUUCCAUGGUGAAACGUUUUUUAUCAUUUCCCUUGACAAUUGAUAGCAAGAGUUCCAUACCCAUACCGCGGAAUUGCGGAAGUUUGAGUAUUGAAUCUACUUCUAUAUAACCAUCCUCCCGUAUUUGUAGUCCAUUUGCCUUCGCUGUGUGACGAAGAACUUUCGAUAAAGCUUUUGAAUAAUGCACCAAGUCAUUACGAGGGCGAAUUUUUUUGGUCGGUUUUGAACUUGAUUUUGUAGCAGGAGUUCCUGAAUUAUUUGACUCCUCAAUUAAUUCAUGUGAAUUCAUAUUUUUAUACAUGUGCGAUCAAUAAAUCAACUAAUGAUUUUGUUUGUCAUAAAGCUGCUGCACAUAAAGCGAUUUUCUAACGUGGAAAAUUGACAGUAUGAGGAAGGUAGUUCUUUCUACUAAGUACCUUUUAUUUUACCUCUCGGUGGUGAGUUAGUUCGUCCGUUCCUUGAUUCUAAAAAAAGUGCUUCUUAAUACAGAAGUAAUUAUAGCAUUAAGUUUCCAAAAAUAAGCCCUUAAUGAUAAAUGUAAGGAAUAUUCUUAAAUAUAAAAAUGAGAAAACUUUCAAAUACGUCUAAUUUUGGUGAAACUUC
Schizosaccharomyces pombe (fission yeast) is the source of this 1418-nucleotide non-coding RNA. The record is from the annotation of a GenBank genome assembly. Lineage: Eukaryota; Fungi; Ascomycota; Schizosaccharomycetes; Schizosaccharomycetales; Schizosaccharomycetaceae.